AACGAACGCUGGCGGCAUGCCUAACACAUGCAAGUCGAACGAUGGUCUUCGGAUCAUAGUGGCGCACGGGUGCGUAACGCGUGGGAAUCUGCCCUUGGGUUCGGAAUAACAGUUGGAAACGACUGCUAAUACCGGAUGAUGUCGAUAAGACCAAAGAUUUAUCGCCCGAGGAUGAGCCCGCGUCGGAUUAGCUAGUUGGUGGGGUAAAGGCCUACCAAGCCGACGAUCCGUAGCUGGUCUGAGAGGAUGAUCAGCCACACUGGGACUGAGACACGGCCCAGACUCCUACGGGAGGCAGCAGUGGGGAAUAUUGGACAAUGGGCGCAAGCCUGAUCCAGCAAUGCCGCGUGAGUGAUGAAGGCCUUAGGGUUGUAAAGCUCUUUUACCCGGGAAGAUAAUGACUGUACCGGGAGAAUAAGCCCCGGCUAACUCCGUG
This 436-nucleotide ribosomal RNA is filed under the name uncultured bacterium. RNAcentral's name for it is "partial 16S ribosomal RNA". It matches the Rfam family "Bacterial small subunit ribosomal RNA", at positions 29 to 507 of the family's 1533-position model. The record is from RNAcentral.